GGGGAUCUAGCUCAGUGAUAGAGCACUUGCCUAGCAUGCACGAGGCCCUGGGUCCAAUCCCCAGUUCCA
Non-coding RNA from Ictidomys tridecemlineatus (thirteen-lined ground squirrel), 69 nucleotides. The record is from Rfam. NCBI's taxonomy places the organism in Eukaryota, Metazoa, Chordata, Mammalia, Rodentia, Sciuridae.